This 497-nucleotide ribosomal RNA is filed under the name uncultured bacterium. RNAcentral describes it as "partial 16S ribosomal RNA". It matches the Rfam family "Bacterial small subunit ribosomal RNA", at positions 28 to 507 of the family's 1533-position model. The record is from RNAcentral.
GAUGAACGCUGGCGGCGUGCCUAAUACAUGCAAGUCGAGCGAGCAGACGAGGAGCUUGCUCCUCUGACGUUAGCGGCGGACGGGUGAGUAACACGUGGAUAACCUACCUAUAAGACUGGGAUAACUUCGGGAAACCGGAGCUAAUUCCGGAUAAUAUAUUGAACCGCAUGGUUCAAUAGUGAAAGACGGUUUUGCUGUCACUUAUAGAUGGAUCCGCGCCGCAUUAGCUAGUUGGUAAGGUAACGGCUUACCAAGGCAACGAUGCGUAGCCGACCUGAGAGGGUGAUCGGCCACACUGGAACUGAGACACGGUCCAGACUCCUACGGGAGGCAGCAGUAGGGAAUCUUCCGCAAUGGGCGAAAGCCUGACGGAGCAACGCCGCGUGAGUGAUGAAGGUCUUCGGAUCGUAAAACUCUGUUAUUAGGGAAGAACAAAUGUGUAAGUAACUAUGCACGUCUUGACGGUACCUAAUCAGAAAGCCACGGCUAACUACGUG